UACACACCGCCCGUCACACCACGAAAAGCCCCGCUGCAACAGAAGUCAGUGCUCCAACCCGCAAGGGGGGAAAACUGCCAAAAGUUGUGGUUGGUGAUUGGGGUGAAGUCGUAACAAGGUACCC
RNAcentral lists this ribosomal RNA (124 nucleotides) under uncultured bacterium. RNAcentral describes it as "partial 16S ribosomal RNA". It matches the Rfam family "Bacterial small subunit ribosomal RNA", at positions 1384 to 1501 of the family's 1533-position model. The record is from RNAcentral.